Long non-coding RNA from Strongylocentrotus purpuratus (purple sea urchin), 464 nucleotides. RefSeq lists it as uncharacterized. The transcript is spliced from 3 exons. NCBI's taxonomy places the organism in Eukaryota, Metazoa, Echinodermata, Echinoidea, Camarodonta, Strongylocentrotidae. The record is from RefSeq and is a predicted model, not a curated record.
ACAACUUUAUUUUUGUUAUCGCUCAUAAUCUAAACGUCUUCGUUCAACUUCUAUUCGUUUUCAGCAUCCACAACUUCUCGUGAAGCAACAACCAAUUCGUUUUCAGCAUCCACAACGUCUCGUGAAGCAACAACCAAUUCUAUAUCGACCACACCAAAUCCCACUUCAACUACAAGAUCAACUACAACACGAGACACCACAACGAUGUCCACGACGGAAUCCACCACCUCACACCCUACGACAACUACUCACAAAGACACCAUCCCUACUAGCACAACUACCACAAAGUCAAGGGUUUUAUCAUCAACAAGUACCCUGACCGACGAAGCAAGUAGUGAGACACCGCAACCAACGACCACGGCAACGUCAUCAUCGACAACGGAAUCUCCAACAACGCCUUCACAAGACCGUGAGACUAUAUUUUCAUUGGCGAACUACUCUGAUAAACAAGAAAAUACGUUAAU